RNAcentral lists this transfer RNA (82 nucleotides) under Candidatus Pacearchaeota archaeon CG10_big_fil_rev_8_21_14_0_10_31_59. Its description in RNAcentral is "tRNA-Ser". It matches the Rfam family "tRNA". From Rfam's summary of the family: Transfer RNA (tRNA) molecules are approximately 80 nucleotides in length. Their secondary structure includes four short double-helical elements and three loops (D, anti-codon, and T loops). Lineage: Archaea; Nanobdellati. The record is from RNAcentral.
GCCCAGAUGGCCCAAUGGUACGGCGCCAGCCUGCUAAGUUGGUUUCCGCAAGGAUCUCCCGGUUCGAUUCCGGGUCUGGGCG